Aquila chrysaetos chrysaetos is the source of this 549-nucleotide long non-coding RNA. RefSeq lists it as uncharacterized. The transcript has 2 exons. The record is from RefSeq and is a predicted model, not a curated record. Lineage: Eukaryota; Metazoa; Chordata; Aves; Accipitriformes; Accipitridae.
UCUUCGUCUUCCUCCGCCGCGCCUGAAAAGGGCGGCGCGGACUUUGGCGAAUCGGCGGCGGAGGAAACGCAGAGCGGGUGGCGCCGACCUCCGCGGCGUUACCCCGGUAACAAUGGCGGCGGCGGGCGGACCGGGCCCGCUCCGCUCCCCUCCGCUCCUCCUCGCCCUGCCCGGCCCGGGGUCGCCCCGCCGCGGUCCGUGAUGAGUAGCCACUGCGCAAGCCGAGUUCCGCGGGGACCGGUGAGGAAGCUUGUGCUGGGGAAGCAGCCAUCCUCUGAGCAAAUAUUUACAGCAACUUCCACAUAGACUGUAGGAAACACUGCUUCAGAAGAACCUGGCUAUGUUUUCUACAUGACCACAAAGCAAGACACGGGACUUGGAAACAACAUGACCCCCUCACACAGCAAAAGCAGCGCUCCAUGAUACCAGCAGACCACUUUUGAUUCAACCGCUCAGCGAUGGAGACAUAUUCUAAGAGCAGUUGAAUGCAUUUGUUUCCUUUUCCUCCCUCCUCCUUGCGAGCAUUAAAAGAUCUUUGGUUUUCUUUUA